AUGGAGGGGGUAGCGGGGAUGUUGAGGGGGUUGAAGCUCUCUGACGAGGAGAAGAAGGGAGUCCGGAUUAGGUUUUCGGGGAAGGAGACUGGGAAAAGCACGGCGGCGCAGGUGGUGGGGAGGGUGCUGUCGGAGAAGUUGGUUCAUCCGGAUGCAAUCAGCCUGACGCUGGGGAAGAUCUGGUGUCCGAUCAAGGGAACGGACUGCAAGGAAAUUGGGGUCAACCAGUUUUUGUUCACAUUCAACCAGGAGACAGGAAAGAGGAAGGCGUUGGAUAAUGGUCCAUGGAUGUUUGAUAAGGAUCUGGUGGUGGUGGAAGACUAUGACCCCUGUAAGAGGCCGGAAGAUUAUCAAUUCAAUAAGAUCCCGAUUUGGGUUAGGGUUUUUGAUCUACCACUGGGC
This 402-nucleotide ribosomal RNA is filed under the name Triticum aestivum (bread wheat). Its description in RNAcentral is "partial small subunit ribosomal RNA". Lineage: Eukaryota; Viridiplantae; Streptophyta; Magnoliopsida; Poales; Poaceae. The record is from RNAcentral.